CGGGGGGGGCAAGCGUUGUUCGGAAUUACUGGGCGUAAAGGGUGCGUAGGCGGCUUUCUAAGUCGGAUGUGAAAACUCUGGGCUCAACCCAGAGCCUGCAUCUGAAACUGGAGAGCUAGGGUUCUGGAGGGGAAAGCGGAAUUCCUGGUGUAGCGGUGAAAUGCGUAGAUAUCAGGAGGAACACCGGUGGCGAAGGCGGCUUUCUGGACAGAUACCGACGCUGAGGCACGAAAGCUAGGGGAGCAAACAGGAUUAGAUACCCUGGUAGUCCUAGCCCUAAACGAUGGAUACUUGCUGUGGGGGGAUUGAAGCCCCUUGUGGCGAAGCUAACGCAUUAAGUAUCCCGCCUGGGGAGUACGGUCGCAAGGCUG
This 371-nucleotide ribosomal RNA is filed under the name uncultured organism. Its description in RNAcentral is "bacterial SSU rRNA". It matches the Rfam family "Bacterial small subunit ribosomal RNA", at positions 526 to 896 of the family's 1533-position model. The record is from RNAcentral.